AUUGAACGCUGGCGGCAGGCCUAACACAUGCAAGUCGAGCGGAGCGGCGGACGGGAGAGUAAUGCCUGGGAAUCUGCCUGGGAGUGGGGGAUCACGUCCGGAAACGGGCGCUAAUACCGCAUACUAUCAGAUAAGCCUAGGUCGGAUUAGCCAGUGGGUGGGGUAAAGGCUAACCUAGGCGACGAUCCCUAGCUGGUCUGAGAGGAUGAUCAGCCACACUGGGACUGAGACACGGCCCAGACUCCUACGGGAGGCAGCAGUGGGGAAUAUUGCACAAUGGGCGCAAGCCUGAUGCAGCCAUGCCGCGUGUAUGAAGAAGGCCUUCGGGUUGUAAAGUACUUUCAGUCGGGAGGCGUUACCGACAGAAGAAGCACCGGCUAACUCCGUGCCAGCAGCCGCGGUAAUAC
Molecule: ribosomal RNA, 407 nt
Filed under: uncultured bacterium
Lineage: Bacteria
Description: partial 16S ribosomal RNA
Rfam family: Bacterial small subunit ribosomal RNA
Source: RNAcentral